GGUUGAUCCUGCCAGUAAUAUAUGCUUGUCUCAAAGAUUAAUCCAUGCAUGUCUAAGUAUAAAUAGUAUACCUUAAAACUGCAAAUGGCUCAUUAAAACAGUUAUAGCUUAUAUGAUAAUGAAAGAUUACAUGGAUAACCGUGGUAAUUCUAGAGCUAAUACAUGCUGAUAGCCCGGCGCAAGUCGCGGUUGUAUUUAUUAGAUAUAAAUCAAUAUGUUAACAGCAUUUUGAAGGAAUGACAGUAACUGAUCGAAUCCCCACUUGUUGAGGAUAAAUCAUUCAAGUUUCUGCCCUAUCAGCUUUCGAUGGUAGUGUAUUGGACUACCAUGGCGGUAACGGGUAACGGAGAAUUAGUGUUCGAUUCCGGAGAGGGAGCCUGAGAAACGGCUACCACAUCUAAGGAAGGCAGCAGGAGCGUAAAUUACCCAAUGUCGACUCGAUGAGCGUAGUGACAAUACAUAACAAAGAGGGGAUUUUUUAUCUUACUCUAUUGCAAUGAGGCAUGUUUAAUAACCUGUUCGAGCAACCAGUGAAGGGCAAGUCUGGUGCCAGCAGCCGCGGUAAUUCCAGCUUCACGAGUGUAUAUUUAAGUUGUUGCAGUUAAAAAGCUCGUAGUUGAAGUUCUGCUGAUUUUGCCAGCACUUUUCGUGAUGGUAGGAUGAGCAUCCGCCUGAAAAACUAUUCGGAUCUUCACUGAUUCAAUAGUGGAUCAGGCAUUUUACUUUGAAAAAAUUAGAGUGUUCAAAGCAGGCAGCAGCCUGAAUACAUUAGCAUGGAAUAAUGGAAUAGGACGCUGUCCAUUUUGUUGGUUAUUGGAUUGCGUAAUGAUUAAUAGGGACAGUCGGGGGCAUUUGUAUUUAAUUGUCAGAGGUGAAAUUCUUGGAUUUAUUAAAGACAAACUUAUGCGAAAGCAUUUGCCAAGGAUGUUUUCAUUAAUCAAGAACGAAAGUUAGAGGAUCAAAGACGAUCAGAUACCGUCCUAGUUUUAACUAUAAACUAUGCCGACUCGGUCUUCGUCAAGUCUUUAUAACUUGAUGGGUGCCGUAUGAGAAAUCAAAGUCUUUGGGUUCCGGGGGGAGUAUGGUCGCAAGUUUGAAACUUAAAGGAAUAGACGGAACAUCACUACCAGGUGUGGAUCCUGCGGCUUAAUUUGACCCAACACGGGGAAACUUACCAGCGCAAAACAAGGGUGGGAUUGACAGAUUGAGAGCUCUUUCUUGAUUCUUUGGAUAGUGGUGCAUGGCCGUUCUUAGUUGGUGGAGUGAUUUGUCUGCUUAAUUGCAC
This 1285-nucleotide ribosomal RNA is filed under the name metagenome. RNAcentral's name for it is "SSU rRNA". It matches the Rfam family "Eukaryotic small subunit ribosomal RNA", at positions 6 to 1328 of the family's 1831-position model. The record is from RNAcentral.